RNAcentral lists this ribosomal RNA (577 nucleotides) under Penicillium simplicissimum. RNAcentral's name for it is "eukaryotic LSU rRNA". The stretch from base 193 to 346 matches the Rfam family "5.8S ribosomal RNA". The record is from RNAcentral. Lineage: Eukaryota; Fungi; Ascomycota; Eurotiomycetes; Eurotiales; Aspergillaceae.
UGCGGAAGGAUCAUUACCGAGUGAGGGCCCUCUGGGUCCAACCUCCCACCCGUGUUUAUCGUACCUUGUUGCUUCGGCGGGCCCGCCUCACGGCCGCCGGGGGGCAUCCGCCCCCGGGCCCGCGCCCGCCGAAGACACCAAUGAACUCUUGUCUGAAGAUUGCAGUCUGAGCAGAUUAGCUAAAUCAGUUAAAACUUUCAACAACGGAUCUCUUGGUUCCGGCAUCGAUGAAGAACGCAGCGAAAUGCGAUAAGUAAUGUGAAUUGCAGAAUUCAGUGAAUCAUCGAGUCUUUGAACGCACAUUGCGCCCCCUGGUAUUCCGGGGGGCAUGCCUGUCCGAGCGUCAUUGCUGCCCUCAAGCACGGCUUGUGUGUUGGGCUUCGCCCCCCGGCUCCCGGGGGGCGGGCCCGAAAGGCAGCGGCGGCACCGCGUCCGGUCCUCGAGCGUAUGGGGCUUUGUCACCCGCUCUGUAGGCCCGGCCGGCGCCCGCCGGCGACCCCAAAUCAAUCUAUCCAGGUUGACCUCGGAUCAGGUAGGGAUACCCGCUGAACUUAAGCAUAUCAAUAAGACGGAGGAA